UGGUCUCUCCCUCAUGUCAAAGGAGGGACUUAGUGAGCACAUGGAAUCUUACCGGUCAUUCUUCUUGCAACCAAAAUGCUAUUUGUGCUGAAAGACAAAGUUAAUGUUAUGAGUAUGCCAUAUUCUCCUUUUACGAGCACAUAGCCAGACGAACCCAGAUGUGCCAUUGAGGCGAAUUGAGCGUGCAACCAAGCGAACAGUCCAGUUUACUGAUUUCCAUCAUGGUUGAUUACACUAGUAACCAUUAGUAUUUUGUUAUAAUUAAUACUGCUGUAAUGGGGUGUGACUAGUUGUUAUGCUGCUACAGGUAAAGCUGUAUGGUGAAUUGUAGAGAGAGUUAAUCAGUUUACUGAUUUCAUUAUGAAUUGAUUACUGCAGUAAUCAUUAAUAUUUUGUUAUAAUCAAUAUUGUUGUAAUGGGGUGUGAGUGGUAGUUAUGCUACCAGAGGUAUAUAGUGUUGCGAAUGGCAGAGUGGGAAUGGUGACAGGCUAAUCAAAUUCCUGUUAAAAAAUGCUCAUGUGCCGGAGGCGUGAGAGGAUUUGACUGUAAAUGGCGGGAGAGGGAGAGAGGAAGCUGAUUGGUCCAGCGUGGCGAAAACAAAGAGGGAGAGAUG
Long non-coding RNA from Dioscorea cayenensis subsp. rotundata (Guinea yam), 613 nucleotides. RefSeq lists it as uncharacterized. The transcript is spliced from 3 exons. Lineage: Eukaryota; Viridiplantae; Streptophyta; Magnoliopsida; Dioscoreales; Dioscoreaceae. The record is from RefSeq and is a predicted model, not a curated record.